RNAcentral lists this ribosomal RNA (356 nucleotides) under uncultured Nitrosospira sp. RNAcentral's name for it is "bacterial SSU rRNA". It matches the Rfam family "Bacterial small subunit ribosomal RNA", at positions 289 to 637 of the family's 1533-position model. The record is from RNAcentral. Lineage: Bacteria; Pseudomonadati; Pseudomonadota; Betaproteobacteria; Nitrosomonadales; Nitrosomonadaceae.
GGUCUGAGAGGAUGAUCCGCCACACUGGGACUGAGACACGGUCCAGACUCCUACGGGAGGCAGCAGUGGGGAAUUUUGGACAAUGGGGGCAACCCUGAUCCAGCCAUGCCGCGUGAGUGAAGAAGGCCUUCGGGUUGUAAAGCUCUUUCAGCCGGGAAGAAAAUGUUGGGGUUAAUACCCUGUGCUCAUGACGGUACCGGAAUAAGAAGCACCGGCUAACUACGUGCCAGCAGCCGCGGUAAUACGUAGGGUGCGAGCGUUAAUCGGAAUUACUGGGCGUAAAGCGUGCGCAGGCGGUUUUGUAAGACAGAUGUGAAAUCCCCGGGCUUAACCUGGGAACUGCGUUUGAAACUACA